This is an RNA transcript of Cephus cinctus (wheat stem sawfly), 1492 nucleotides long. RefSeq lists it as uncharacterized. The transcript is spliced from 8 exons. NCBI's taxonomy places the organism in Eukaryota, Metazoa, Arthropoda, Insecta, Hymenoptera, Cephidae. The record is from RefSeq and is a predicted model, not a curated record.
ACGCUGGUGGGGGAGCUUAAACUAUAAUAAUACCGAAUCUAUAAGACAUUCAAGCCACCAAGAAGAGUCGUCUUCAAUCGUGCGUGAACUCUUCUCAGAAUGUUGAAGAUAUAACACGUUAUUAAUUAUUAAUUAGAAAUAUGUGAAAAUCGUGAUAUUUUGUUAGUUAUUAAAAACAUAUAUAUACUGAGGAUCCAUGGAAAUGUUUAAGGAAAUAUCACAGAUAACCCAAAGGUUCGUGUGCCGACAGAAAUGGACGUUAAUGCUUUGCCUCCUCUUUGCUUUAAUAAUUGUUCCUACUGUAACGCACUUUCUAAAAUGGCCGUCCCCCGGUGACACGGAUAUGGACAACGUUCCACAGGAGCUUUACGAGGAUGUUUUUCGCAGAUGGUAUAAUCUUACCGACGGUGAGAAACAUUGGUACAACCUGAAGAAUGAUAUCAAGUGGGACGAUGUGGAUUUACUGCGCGAGGUCAAACGGAAUUGGAUCAUUCAGGAAUACGAUGCUGCGAAACCGUACUCGCUCAACGAUCCUUACCUCAAUGACACCUCGAUGGGCCAAGCCCAGAUGAUACGUGAGAUCUUUCAAGAGAAGAAGGGCGGAUUCUUCGUCGAAUGUGGCGCUUAUGACGGAGAAACGCGUAGUAACACUCUUAAUCUUGAGAGAUUUUAUAAUUGGACAGGUCUUCUCAUCGAGGCUGAUCCAAUUAACUUUACGAAAAUGCUGAUAAAGAACAGGAAGGCUUGGCUGACACCAUCUUGUCUGAGCAUCGAACCUCGUCCGAUGGUGGCGAAUUUUCUAAUGGCCAAGAACAUUGGACGACUUCAUGAUCCUGAGCAUUCCGAGGAAGGCAUUGAGAACACGGCGGACGUUGCGCAUACCGGUACCCAUGUCAAAGUUCAGUGCUUUCCACUUGCGACCUACGCCGCGGCGCUAGAUGUCACCACUAUAGAUUAUUUCAGUCUUGACAUUGAAGGCAAUGAGAUGGAGGUCCUAGAAACGAUACCAUUUGAUCGUCUGGAUAUCAAGACUCUCUCGGUCGAGUAUGUUCACGGCAAGAAGGAUCGCGACUAUAUGAUUAAUUUCAUGAAGAAGCGUGGAUACCACGUGUACAAUUUUGUCGAACGCGAUGACAACCUCGCUAAUGACGUCAUCUUCGUUAAAAACACUCUACCCAACAGUCCAUUACACGAAUUGUAGAAAUUACCUCAGUCAGAAAAAUGAUGCCAUUAACAAAGAAAUAAUUCUGCUCGGCUUAGAAGCGAUUCCGUUUCUUAAUAUUGAAACUAAGCGUGAAUUAAUUACCAUGAGUAUUUUGGAACAAAAGAGACUUGGCUUUCGGUGAAAUUCAUCACCUUUCCGCGUUAGCAAAACGGGGUAUAAGAAAGGACAAAGGAAGUGGAGGGAUGGAAUUAGAUAAAAUAAAGCAAAACUCCGUGGAAACGAAAAGAAUGUAACGACAAAGAUAAAGAGACAUAUUUUACCGUCGAA